RNAcentral lists this ribosomal RNA (241 nucleotides) under uncultured bacterium. Its description in RNAcentral is "partial 16S ribosomal RNA". It matches the Rfam family "Bacterial small subunit ribosomal RNA", at positions 796 to 1041 of the family's 1533-position model. The record is from RNAcentral.
CACGCUGUAAACGAUGAAAACUAAGUAUUGCCGCGAGGCAGUGCUGUAGCUAACGCAUUAAGUUUUCCGCCUGGGGAGUACGCUCGCAAGAGUGAAACUUAAAGGAAUUGACGGGGGCCCGCACAAGCAGUGGAGCAUGUGGUUUAAUUCGACGCUACGCGAAGAACCUUACCAGGUCUUGACAUCCCGAUGACCGCUCUAGAGAUAGAGUUUUCCCUUCGGGGACAUUGGUGACAGGUGG